RNAcentral lists this ribosomal RNA (433 nucleotides) under uncultured bacterium. RNAcentral's name for it is "partial 16S ribosomal RNA". It matches the Rfam family "Bacterial small subunit ribosomal RNA", at positions 29 to 507 of the family's 1533-position model. The record is from RNAcentral.
AACGAACGCUGGCGGCAUGCCUAACACAUGCAAGUCGAACGAGACCUUCGGGUCUAGUGGCGCACGGGUGCGUAACGCGUGGGAACCUGCCCUUAGGUUCGGAAUAACUCCCCGAAAGGGGUGCUAAUACCGGAUAAUGUCUUCGGACCAAAGAUUUAUCGCCUUUGGAUGGGCCCGCAUUGGAUUAGCUAGUUGGUAGGGUAAAAGCCUACUAAGGCGACGAUCCAUAGCUGGUCUGAGAGGAUGAUCAGCCACACUGGGACUGAGACACGGCCCAGACUCCUACGGGAGGCAGCAGUGGGGAAUAUUGGACAAUGGGCGAAAGCCUGAUCCAGCAAUGCCGCGUGAGUGAUGAAGGCCUUAGGGUUGUAAAGCUCUUUUACCCGGGAUGAUAAUGACAGUACCGGGAGAAUAAGCUCCGGCUAACUCCGUG